UCAAUAUAAUCUCCUGAAGUGACAUUUUCCCUGGAUUAUACAUGUUAUCUCCAUAGUAACUGAGCACUUUUCUCCACGCAGUCCUACAUGUCUUCCUUUUCUCUUGUCCUCCAUCUUGCAUCUCAGGAAAAAAGUCACAUGAAGAACAUGUUAUAUACUACGCAUUCAAAGUAGCUGGCAUAUUUCUACUUUAUUAUUAAAUUUGUCUGAUAUUUUGACUAUACAUAUGAUGAAAAAUAAUUAAAAAUCAUUUAUCAAUAUUUUAUUUGUUCUUAAACUGGCAGAUGAGAAUUUUGUUCAGAUAUUCAUCCAUAAAACUAGUAAUUAUAAUAAUUAUUAUUAUAAGUUAUUUCAAAGAUCAUGAAUUAUCAGACAUGUUAGACUCUGAAAUGUUUCUGGACUUUCCAUCACUUCAGUAGCAAACAUAAACGGUCUGAACAGUAUAAUAGUUUGUUUUACAAGCUUUGUGUAAGAAAAUGAUCAAUGCAAUCAUGACAUUAUCUGAAGUAUUUUCUUUUAGGUUAAAUCUAGUUUAGUUUCUCAUUUGUGCUGCGGUCAUCCAUAAAACAUUUAAUCAAAAUAAAAGACUUUGGUCUCAGUCUCACUAAAGAGUGACAUUCAUCUUCAACAAUAACAUGACUGAAUUUAGGAAUUUAAAUUUGUGGGUAUUUAUUAACAUUUUUUUUUCUGUAAGUUCUAGGGAUGCUGAUACCUAGAAGCCUGGAGCAUAUGGCACAGAAAAUAACAUUUUACAUUUCUGUAAGAUGUCACAUCUACAGGAAAACAACUCUGAUAGUCAUUGAUGAAAGUAAGUCAUUAUCAUUUUUCAGUUUACAUGUGCCAGUAGAGGGUCUGUUCAUUCCCACAUUCUUGGGAAGGAUGACUUUGAUUCUCUAAAGUACUACAAAUUUCCCACAUACUUUUCCCUAUUUGCUCAUGUUAAUAACAAGUUUAGGGAAAGAAAGAUAAAAACAUAAAAAUAAAAAUAAAAAAUAAAAAAAGUGAAAAUUAAAC
Molecule: long non-coding RNA, 1014 nt
Filed under: Coturnix japonica (Japanese quail)
Lineage: Eukaryota; Metazoa; Chordata; Aves; Galliformes; Phasianidae
Description: lncRNA (ENSCJPG00005019449.1)
Source: RNAcentral